RNAcentral lists this ribosomal RNA (253 nucleotides) under uncultured bacterium. RNAcentral's name for it is "partial 16S ribosomal RNA". It matches the Rfam family "Bacterial small subunit ribosomal RNA", at positions 524 to 776 of the family's 1533-position model. The record is from RNAcentral.
UACGUAGGGAGCAAGCGUUGUCCGGAAUCAUUGGGCGUAAAGCGCGCGUAGGCGGCCUCAUAAGUCCGUUGUGAAAGUCAAAGGCUCAACCUUUGAAAGCCGAUGGAUACUGUGAGGCUAGAGUCCGGAAGAGGCGAGUGGAAUUCCUGGUGUAGCGGUGGAAUGCGCAGAUAUCAGGAAGAACACCCGUGGCGAAAGCGGCUCUCUGGAACGGUACUGACGCUGAGACGCGAAAGCGUGGGGAGCGAACAGG